UUGAUUUUAGUUAUUUGUGAACGUACUACGAAUUAACAACAAAAUAUCUACUAGUCAAAACAAAAUAAAUCA
This 72-nucleotide unclassified non-coding RNA is filed under the name soil metagenome. RNAcentral describes it as "partial internal transcribed spacer 1". The record is from RNAcentral.